CCUACGGGUGGCAGCAGUGAGGAAUAUUGGUCAAUGGACGGAAGUCUGAACCAGCCAUGCCGCGUGCAGGAAGACGGCUCUAUGAGUUGUAAACUGCUUUUGUACAAGGGUAAACCUGAAUACGUGUAUUCAGCUGAAAGUACUGUACGAAUAAGGAUCGGCUAACUCCGUGCCAGCAGCCGCGGUAAUACGGAGGAUCCAAGCGUUAUCCGGAUUUAUUGGGUUUAAAGGGUGCGUAGGUGGAUUGAUAAGUUAGAGGUGAAAUGUCCGAGCUUAACUCGGGAACUGCCUCUAAUACUGUUGGUCUAGAGAGUAGAUGCGGUAGGCGGAAUGUAUGGUGUAGCGGUGAAAUGCUUAGAGAUCAUACAGAAUACCGAUUGCGAAGGCAGCUUACCAAUCUAUAUCUGACGUUGAGGCACGAAAGCGUGGGGAGCAAACAGGAUUAGAUACCCCUGUAGUC
Molecule: ribosomal RNA, 460 nt
Filed under: uncultured bacterium
Lineage: Bacteria
Description: partial 16S ribosomal RNA
Rfam family: Bacterial small subunit ribosomal RNA
Source: RNAcentral